RNAcentral lists this ribosomal RNA (207 nucleotides) under uncultured bacterium. RNAcentral describes it as "partial 16S ribosomal RNA". It matches the Rfam family "Bacterial small subunit ribosomal RNA", at positions 568 to 774 of the family's 1533-position model. The record is from RNAcentral.
CACGUAGGCGGAUCAGAAAGUCAGAGGUGAAAUCCCAGGGCUCAACCUUGGAACUGCCUUUGAAACUCCUGGUCUUGAGGUCGAGAGAGGUGAGUGGAAUUCCGAGUGUAGAGGUGAAAUUCGUAGAUAUUAGGAGGAACACCAGUUGCGAAGGCGGCUCUCUGGACUGUAACUGACACUGAGGCACGAAAGCGUGGGGAGCAAACA